RNAcentral lists this ribosomal RNA (1336 nucleotides) under metagenome. RNAcentral's name for it is "SSU rRNA". It matches the Rfam family "Eukaryotic small subunit ribosomal RNA", at positions 1 to 1305 of the family's 1831-position model. The record is from RNAcentral.
UCUGGUUGAUCCUGCCAGUAGUGAUAUGCUUGUUUCAAAGAUUAAGCCAUGCAUGUCUAAGUAUAAGCGAACUUAUACAGUGAAACUGCGGAUGGCUCAUUAAAACAGUUUGAAUUUAUUUGAUGAAUGUAUGAGAAUACUACUUGGAUAACCGUAGUAAUUCUAGAGCUAAUACAUGCAACGACGCCCGACCGUUUCACUACGGAAGGGCUGUAUUUAUUGGAUACCAAAACCAUCCUUCCCUCGGGAAGUUUUGUUUGAUGAUUCACAAUAACUGAUCGGAUCGCCACUGUGGUGGCGACAGGUCAUUCAACAUUCUGCCCUAUCAGCUUUCGAUGGUUGUGUAGUGGACAACCAUGGCCAUAACGGGUAACGGAGAAUCAGGGUUCGAUUCCGGAGAAGGAGCUUGAGAAUUGGCUACUACAUCUAAGGAAGGCAGCAGGCGCGCAAAUUACCCAAUCCCGAUUCGGGGAGGUAGUGACAAAAAAUAACAAUACCGGGCCUUUUUGGGCUUGGUAAUUGGAAUGAGGGAGAGUUAAACGGACCAUCGAGUAUCCAUUGGAGGGCAAGUCUGGUGCCAGCAGCUGCGGUAAUACCAGCUCCAAUAGCGUAUAUUAAAGUUGUUGCAGUUAAAAAGCUCGUAGUUGGACUUGUGUGCGCUGUCCGCGGGUGGCCUGCGCCCAAAAGGGCGUUUCGGUUCGGCCCCGGUGGCGCCUUGAAAUCUGCAGCUGGGGGACGUUGGCCUUAACUGGUCGGCGACCGCACGCCGGCUGCUCGGUUACUGUGAGAAAAUUAGAGUGUUCAAGGCAGGCAUUGGGUGCAAUUGAAUACAUUAGCAUGGAAUAAUAAAAUAUGGCUCCUGCCGUAUUUUGUUGGUUUUGACUGGUGGGAGUAAUGAUUGAUAGGGACGGUUGGGGGUGCUAGUAUUGAGCGGCCAGAGGUGAAAUUCAUGGAUUCGCUCAAGACUAACUUAUGCGAAAGCAUUCACCAAGGACGUCCUCUUUAAUCAAGAACGAAAGUUGGGGGAUCGAAGACGAUCAGAUACCGUCGUAGUCUCAACCAUAAACUAUGUCGACUUGGGAUCGGCGGUAGUUUUUUCAUUAAGACACUGUCGGGACCACGGGAGAAAUCAAAGUGUCUGGACUCUGGGGGAAGUAUGGUCGCAAGGCUGAAACUUGAAGGAAUUGACGGAAGGGCACCACCAGGAGUGGAGCCUGCGGCUUAAUUUGACCCAACACGGGGAAACUUACCAGGUCCAGAGAUGUAGAGGAUUGACAGAUUGAAGCUCUUUCUUGAUCACUUCGGUGGUGGUGCAUGGCCGUUCUUAGUUGGUGGA